GACGAACGCUGGCGGCGUGCCUAAUACAUGCAAGUUGAGCGCUGAAGGUUGGUACUUGUACCAACUGGAUGAGCAGCGAACGGGUGAGUAACGCGUGGGGAAUCUGCCUUUGAGCGGGGGACAACAUUUGGAAACGAAUGCUAAUACCGCAUAAAAAUUUUAAACACAAGUUUUAAGUUUGAAAGAUGCCAUUGCCUCACUCAAAGAUGAUCCCGCGUUGUAUUAGCUAGUUGGUGAGGUAAAGGCUCACCAAGGCGAUGAUACAUAGCCGACCUGAGAGGGUGAUCGGCCACAUUGGGACUGAGACACGGCCCAAACUCCUACGGGAGGCAGCAGUAGGGAAUCUUCGGAAAUGGACGAAAGUCUGACCGAGCAACGCCGCGUGAGUGAAGAAGGUUUUCGGAUCGUAAAACUCUGUUGGUAGAGAAGAACGUUGGUGAGAGUGGAAAGCUCAUCAAGUGACGGUAACUACCCAGAAAGGGACGGCUAACUACGUG
This 497-nucleotide ribosomal RNA is filed under the name uncultured bacterium. Its description in RNAcentral is "partial 16S ribosomal RNA". It matches the Rfam family "Bacterial small subunit ribosomal RNA", at positions 28 to 507 of the family's 1533-position model. The record is from RNAcentral.